RNAcentral lists this long non-coding RNA (202 nucleotides) under Brassica napus (rape). Its description in RNAcentral is "long non-coding RNA (BNAP_LNC022493)". The record is from RNAcentral. Lineage: Eukaryota; Viridiplantae; Streptophyta; Magnoliopsida; Brassicales; Brassicaceae.
UUUUAAUAAUUUAUGGUCACAUAAAAAAGAACGUCAGAUUUCAAGACAAUUUAGUGUUGUCAAAGGAUGUAACUUAUAUCAAUUCAAAAAAAAAGAAAAAAAAAACUUAUAUCAAUUCAGAUUUCAUUUAUGCCGUGGAAUCUGGGUCAUGUGAGAAUGGAGAUAACGUGAGUAGGUGGGCAGAGAAAUACUGUAAAAGUUU